AUUGAACGCUGGCGGCAUGCCUUACACAUGCAAGUCGAACGGCAGCGCGGGAGCUUGCUCCUGGCGGCGAGUGGCGAACGGGUGAGUAAUACAUCGGAACGUGUCCGUUUGUGGGGGACAACCAGCCGAAAGGUUGGCUAAUACCGCAUAAGACCUGAGGGUGAAAGCCGGGGACCGCAAGGCCUGGCGCAGACGGAGCGGCCGAUGAUUGAUUAGCGUGUUGGCGGGGUAAAGGCCCACCAAGGCGACGAUCAAUAGCUGGUCUGAGAGGACGACCAGCCACCCUGGAACUGAGACACUGUCCAGACUCCUACGGGAGGCAACAGUGGGGAAGUUUGGACGAUGGGGGCAACGCAGAUCCAGCCAUGCCGCGGGCGGGAAGAAGGCCUUCGGGUUGGAAACCGCUUUUGUCAGGGAGGAGAAGGAACGGGUGAAGAGCUAGUUCUGCUAACGGUACCUGAAGAAUAAGCACCGGCUACUACGUGCCAGCCGCCGCCGUAA
Molecule: ribosomal RNA, 501 nt
Filed under: uncultured bacterium
Lineage: Bacteria
Description: partial 16S ribosomal RNA
Rfam family: Bacterial small subunit ribosomal RNA
Source: RNAcentral